GGACAUGUUCCGACAUUUAAACGAAGUAUUUCCAUGUUGACGAAUUCGAAAAAAAUGGUAUCUGGGACUUAAAUAAGUGAAAUUUUAGCAAAAUUAAUAAAUAUUUAUUUAUGUCAUAGGUUUAUGUAGUGGUAGUGCAAAAAUCGUUGAAAAGUUAGUUGCUAGUCUCACCCAUAUCCGCAUCAGGGAAGAGUUUGCAAGAUACGGUACUGUUCAAAAUGUCCAAAAACAGCGUUCCGGGAGGCCACGGUUAUCCCAAAUUGCCACGAGAAAAGAAAAACAAAUGGAAACUUAUCGCAAAUCUUCAUGAAAAUCUGUUCAUAAAGCAACACGUGAGAGCCUGGUGAUAACUAUGAAAAAGAAGUUGAGGCAAAGAGCCGCCGAAUGUUCUGCUUCAGAAUCAUGGUUUCCCCACAUUCAUACAUUUUCUCUCGAAAAAAUGUUGCAGUACUAUCAAUUGUUGAGCUGCCCAAUGCAUUUUCAUCACAUAGAAACUUGCAACAGUCAUUUUGACUGGUACUGGCAUAAGUGUCAAUAACAAAAAUUACAGAUACAAAAGACAUGAUAUCAUUACGGGAAAAAAAUUUUUAUGCAGCAAGAAUUUUGACUGGUCAGGUAAAUCUGGUGUUAAUCAUUAUGCUCCAACAAGAAAACAAAAACAAAAAUCGAAAGCUGAGUAUUAUUCUUGAAUGGAAAAAUAAAAAUCGAAUCAUAAUCAAUCCUUGAACAAAAAUAUUACAAUCAGGACGGAGUCAUUGGUCACAAAUGAAAAAAUAAAAGUAAUUUCAAAUUUGGGGAAUGCUGCUAAAGUGACAGUUUUUUCCCCGGAUACAAAUCCUGAGCAUCCCGUUAACGUAGAACUGCCAGUCGUGGGAACGAGUAGUACGGAGAAUACUAACGCAAAUUAUUCGAUAGUCUAAACUGUUAUCAACCCUUAACGGCCGAGAGCUUUUUUGUAAUACUCGCCGCCCAUAAGACGACGGAAAAUUAGGUGAAGUUCUAAAACGUUUAUGAGGAUGAAAACUUAAAUUAAAUUAUUUGGAUAUGAAUUCAAUAUAUUUACUUGUUUUAUAAUUUCAUAUGAUCAACAAACCAGAGAUGUACAAAGUUGCAAUAUUUGUUAAAGAAAACUACAGCGAUGAUAAAUAAAUGAAAUGAAAACUGAA
Long non-coding RNA from Anastrepha ludens (Mexican fruit fly), 1166 nucleotides. RefSeq lists it as uncharacterized. Lineage: Eukaryota; Metazoa; Arthropoda; Insecta; Diptera; Tephritidae. The record is from RefSeq and is a predicted model, not a curated record. The transcript is spliced from 5 exons.